Molecule: RNA transcript, 5028 nt
Organism: Gavialis gangeticus (Gharial)
Lineage: Eukaryota; Metazoa; Chordata; Crocodylia; Gavialidae
Gene: ZFYVE28
Gene name: zinc finger FYVE-type containing 28
Exons: 15
Source: RefSeq, a predicted model, not a curated record
CCGCGGGGAUGAUGAACAGGUUCCGCAAGUGGCUCUACAAACCCAAGAGAACAGAUCCACAGCUCCUUGCUCAAUUCUAUUAUGCAGAUGAAGAACUGAAUCAAGUAGCAGCUGAACUAGACAGUUUGGAUGGAAGAAAAGACCCGCAAAGAUGCACUCUGUUGGUCAACCAGUUUCGCUCUUGUCAGGAUAAUGUUUUAAACAUCAUAAAUCAGAUCAUGGAUGAAUGCAUUCCACAUGACCGGGCCAACCGGGACUUCUGUGUCAAAUUUCCAGAGGAAAUACGCCAUGACAACCUUGCAGGGCAGCUUUGGUUUGGAGCAGAGUGCUUGGCUGCUGGUUCAAUUAUUAUGAAUCGUGAAAUCGAGAGUAUGGCUAUGAGACCAUUGGCUAAGGAUCUGACUCGUAGUCUAGAGGAAGUAAGAAACAUAAUUCGUGACCAGGCCCUACGGGAUUUGAAUCUUUACACAGAAAAAAUGAGGGACUCGCUCAGACAUUUUGAUAUUCUUUUUGCUGAAUUUGAGUUAAGUUAUGUAUCAGCCAUGGUUCCUGUAAAAUCUCCAAAAGAAUACUAUGUACAGCAAGAGGUAAUCGUGCUUUUUUGCGAAACAGUAGAGAGAGCUCUAAAGCUUGGAUACCUCACUCAAGACAUGAUUGAUGACUAUGAACCAGCAUUAAUGUUUACCAUCCCAAGAUUAGCAAUUGUGUGUGGGCUUGUAGUUUACUCUGAAGGACCCCUGAACCUGGACCACAAGCCAGAAGAUAUGUCUGAGCUUUUCAGACCCUUCCAUACUUUGCUACGAAAAAUAAGGGACCUCCUCCAAACCUUAACUGAUGACGAGUUGCACACACUGGAAUGUAACCUCUGCAUAUCCCAAGACUUGGAUUUUCCUGUCAGAACAGAUCCUGAAGUGCCAUCUGUCAUUACGCCUGCCUUAGCGGCAACUUUACCUACUGAAGAGCUUUCAGCAAAAGCUGAAAACACAGAGACUGAACUAGCUUGCUCUAUGCAGUAUGAUGAGCAGGAACUGGAACAGCUGAAUAGGAUGGUCCAUAGAGUAGGAGAUGAGAUGUCAUCUUUGCUGUCCCCACCAAGCAUCUGCCAGUCCCCAGCACAUAGACCUGGCAUAAGAAGCAGCUCCAGCUCAGAGGCCUCCCCAAGCAGGCAAUGUCUUCAUAAUUUAACCGAUGAAGAAGACAGGGUGUUUUUUAUGGAUGAUCUAGAUGGAGCUGGUGAAGCUCUUGCUGGGUUGGAUUCAGCUAAUGACACUUUUGCCUGGGUAAACAGUCCUUGCCACAAUUCAAAGCAGAGUGUGCAGUACAGGGACCCCUUAGCGUAUGAAAAUGUUCAUGAGACAGAAGCGAUUUUACUUUUGAAACAGGCAGAAAGCGACUUAACCAAUAACAACAACAUUGAAGAUAGCAAACAGAUGUCUGGUAUCUCUGUUCAGAAUUCGUGCAGUUGUUUAGAAGGCCCUGAUUCUCAAUUAUACCUCAAUGGGUGGGAUGCGUACGCUGAUGAUGCAGAGACAGCAGAGAUGAUAGCCCAUAGGACUGGUGGAAUGAAAAUAUCUGCUACUGUAAUAUUUAAUCCCAAAUCUCCCUCUACUUCAGACUCCCUGGAAACAACCCCAGAAGUAGCCGUUGGUUGUAUUCCUGGGUCUUCUGAUCCUUUAGCUGAUGAAGAGGAGAAUGAAUCCCAUAAACUCAGUAUAGCUGCCACAAACUGUCUAAUUAAUUCCUGUGUAUGUUGUGGCAGCUGUGAAGACAGCAGGGAGGAAAAUAUUGAAGGUAUAAAGACCAAACAUUCCCCAGGAAAAGUUAUAAAAGCUUCAUAUAGUUUAGUGAAAUCUAAAGAAAAGGACCAUAUGGAUAAAUUGGACAGUACAGUCUCUGCACAGGAGGCAUUAAAAACUGAAAUUUCUCCUGCUUUGCUAGCAGACUCUGGCAGAGAAGAGCAAAAACUGUCUAGCUCCUCUAAGUGCCUGGCACAUUCCUCAGGUUUGCAGGUGGGAACAGAACAUGCACCACAGGUAGAGGUGGAAAUCUCCAAUCAGCAAAAGAAAUGGGAGAAAAGAAGGCAGGCAUGUGAGAUGCAAUCAGAGAACAAUGAAGAAAGCGGCAGUGAAAGGAUAGCAAAGGAAGACAUUAAAUCAAGAUCUAGUUCAAGUUCUCAGGAUGGCUUACGUGAUUCUCCCCUCAGCUCCAUCUCCAGCAGUGACUAUGAGAGUGUUUCUGUCACUACAUGUAGUCUCUCCAGCAUAUACGCUCUGAGCAGUUUCAUGACGAGCUCUUGUUCAUCUGAUGACAUCGAUCAGGAGGAAAUCCAGCUUGCCUUGCAGGCUGCUAAAAUUGCUACCCGAGAAAAGAUAAGAUCCCGAUUUCAUGGCAGCAAUGACCUUAUUCACAGGCUCUUUGUCUGCAUCUCAGGUGUUGCUGACCAGUUGCAGACAAACUAUGCCAGUGACUUGCGAAGCAUCCUGAAGACCUUAUUUGAAGUUAUGGCAACCAAACCUGAAACAGAGGACAAGGAAAAACAAAAGAAAGUUAAUCAGAGUUUAAGGAAUGCAGCACUAGAAGAUUGUGCUUUAUGCCAGGAAACCAUAUCUUCUUCAGAACUUGCAGCAAAGGCCAGAGAUGGGGACUUUGAAGAUCCUCCUGACUGGGUGCCAGAUGAAGUCUGCAGCUACUGCACUGCGUGCAAAGCUCCGUUCACAGUCAUCCGCAGGAAGCACCAUUGUAGGAGCUGUGGCAAGAUCUUCUGCUCUCGCUGUUCCUCUCAUUCUGCUCCGUUACCUCGAUAUGGUCAGAUGAAGCCUGUCCGGGUUUGCACUCACUGUUACAUGUUCCAUGUCACUCCUUUCUACAGUGACAAAGCUGGUAUCUGACACAUUGAGUCAGCGGUGCACCUACUGGAGUCUGAAAUCGACUGAUCUUACGUUUGAUCUAAGCCAAGAAUGAACUUGAAGGAAGGACCUUGUUGCGGGCAUGUAGGCUUUGACAUUCAUUAUUUUCAAUUUUGUACAGACACUUUUUAUUGCAUUUUAUUAAGCUGCUAAAGGGAAGUACAAAGUGUCUGUAGCUGUAUGGCUGCAGUACUGUCUUCCAUAGAUUUCUAACGUUAGCAUUCCAAUGCCAUAUGCAGAACAGACGUUCUGCGUGGAAGGAAAUAGGGCUCAGUGGACUGAACCUACAUUGCUGCGCUGCUGCUUAUCUGACACACAAAGAACAGAGUAGCUGGUUAACUCUCACUCAGCACAGCAGAUCAGUUCCACAGCUAGGACACUUCUGCACGUGCUAGUAUUCUAGCUCUCCCUCUUGUUGCUAUUUACCUUUUCCAUUGCUGGAUACAAGCUGCCCGAGCUAGCAUUAAUUAAGGCAAAUACGUUAAGCCCGUAUUCAGUAUUCACCUAGGCAAAAUUCUUUUUGAACAACAGAGGAAGAAUCCAAAGUCCCAGAGCAGUAUGUUUCUGUUGCCUCUUGCUGAGCACAGCAAUAACUUGGAGUAUCUUUUGAAAAUUAGUUCUUGCAUCUUUUACUUUAUUUCUUUCCAGUUAGGGAUUUUUUGAAGCAUCAUUGAUGCAAACUCCUGAUGAUGAAAUCCUGAUGCAUGAGAGAGUUUGGUUUGCAAUAUUGAUAAUAAAAUACUAAGAAAAGUUCCAGAGGAAAGAGUUAGUCGAUGAAUGAAUUGCUAUUAAAAAAAUUUUAUUUUUGAAAAGUUUAGCCGCAUUAGUACAGUAUGCAUGACAGACCGGAGUUAUCCCAAGCUCUGCUUUUGAAAUGAUUUUUUUAAAGGCAAACUAGUAUCACCACUUUAUAUUUUUAUUCAAAAAGUCCUACAGAUUGGUCAACUAUAUAAAGUUUAUUUAUCAUCCAUAGUUUGCAGAGUAAUUUUAUAAAACAUUUCAGACUCUUCCUUUUAGACGUAAAUCACACUAACGCCUCAUAAAACACAUCUAUUUUAAUACACAUAUCUGUAUUAAAAUGUACAUAUACAUAGAUAUAAACUAUGCUUCUCUUUGGAGAGGAAAAUAAAAGAUUCACAGGGUCAUGUGGUGAUCUUACACAAGUGAUAUGCAGUAGGAGUUCUGUGAACACCGGGGUUUGGAGGUGUCUGGACAUGUUUGAUGUUAGCCACAUUCAAAGAAAAAAAACUGUUCUGUGGUUACAGAGGAAAUGAGAUCAAGAGCUCUGUGCUGACUUGCGGUGUUAACUGAAUGUUUCGAGCUGAUACAGAGAAAACUGCGCUAUUUCACUCAAGCGUCCUCAUUUAAAAUGAUAAAGCAAAAACUGGUCUGUGCGUAUUUUUUAUUUUGUGGAAACUUCCUUUGCUAUGUAGUUUUAUAUCAAAUGUAAUGGAGCCACAUAAACAUAGCAGUUUGUUGGCAUUGCUGACAUUUCAAUCAAAUGAAAUAGCUUCACCUAGUUUGCGAAAGGCACAAGUCUUAUGAUCCGCCUGUAGACACAUUCAGCAGUAGGAUGUUAGCCUCACUCUAUUUAUAAUUUUUUUGCAAAUUCCCUUUCACGAAAUCCUCAAGUUGGCAUGUCUACAGUCACCGGAGGUUAAAGAGACCCAGGGUGGAUACCUCAGGAGCUGGGUAAUGUGGUACAAGCAGUGAUACUUAUUCAGGCUUAAAUCUCAGGCUUCACAUGCAAUGAUUAUUGCAGUUUUAUUUUUAGAGAAACAACAAAUCUAAUGCUUCUUUUAUAGGAUGAAAAAAAAUACAACUGACUUCAGUUAUGAAAUAAAUAUGCACAAAAGUUGCUUCUGUGGAACAAAAAAGUAAUUAUUUAAUGGACUGAAUAUUUAUUCAAGCUUGUUUUUAUUUUGUAAAUGCUGUAAUUCAGAAUCAUUUCCAUAAAUAUGGUAUUUAAAGAUCUCAGACGCUAUAGUUUCUUAUGUAAAUAUAAACUCCUAUUUCUCUUACUGAAAAGCACAAUGACUAUAUCAAUAUGCAUUUGCCUCAAGGAAGACUUUGCUCUUGUAAUCUCUUCAGAUGAUUAAAAUGUCAGGACUUUCUACUUCCA